GAAAUGCGAUAAGUAGUGUGAAUUGCAGAAUUCAGUGAAUCAUCGAAUCUUUGAACGCACAUUGCGCCCCUUGGUAUUCCAUGGGGCAUGCCUGUUCGAGCGUCAUUUGUACCCUCAAGCUUUGCUUGGUGUUGGGCGUCUUGUCGGAAUAUCCGACUCGCCUUAAAUACAUUGACAGCCGGCACUUUGGCCUAGGAGCGCAGCACAUUUUGCGAUCGUAAGCCGUUGUGACAGCAUCCAUAAGAUUUAUUUUACCACGUUUGACCUCGGAUCAGGUAGGGAUACCCGCUGAACUUAAGC
This 300-nucleotide unclassified non-coding RNA is filed under the name plant metagenome. RNAcentral describes it as "partial contains 5.8S ribosomal RNA, internal transcribed spacer 2, and large subunit ribosomal RNA". The stretch from base 1 to 105 matches the Rfam family "5.8S ribosomal RNA", at positions 50 to 154 of the family's 154-position model. The record is from RNAcentral.